This is a long non-coding RNA of Choloepus didactylus (southern two-toed sloth), 600 nucleotides long. RefSeq lists it as uncharacterized. The record is from RefSeq and is a predicted model, not a curated record. The transcript has 6 exons. Lineage: Eukaryota; Metazoa; Chordata; Mammalia; Pilosa; Megalonychidae.
UGGGGAGGCUCAUAUAACAGCAUGGCAGCAAGGAUGGGGUCGUAGGAGAUACCGGUCUCUUGCACUGUCCUUUGUUGUCAGUUCUCCCAGGGGAAGAGAUUGAUGACUGACAACUGCCACCACCAGAAUAAGGGUGGGGCAGCUCUGCCCAGCAGCUGAUGCUGCAGAACCCAGAGGGUCGGGAGCCGGCGGACCCCAGUACACAGGGAUCGCCGCGGGAGCAUGCGACGCGGGAACAGGCGCCUGCAGACCGCCCGGGACGCGGGCCUGGAAUGCACGCGCUGCGUGGAAUGAGACUCGGGAAACUGCUGGGUGCGUGGGACGGCGGACCUUCGGGACCGCGGCGACAGACCUCUCAGGGCUGGGGAGGACGCUGAAAGUUGAAUGAUUUUUUGAGGUUAAAAUCGUUCAGAGGAAGGCUGAGCAGCCCUGAGCUUUUCUUGCAGCCCGAGUGCUGACGCUGCCCAGCUGGGGAGGCUUGAGGACCUCUGCCUUGAGCAUAGGAAGGGAUCCUUGUCCUGGUCGGGGCUGUGCCUUCCAAGGGACUGGGCUGGCCGCUUCUGACGGGGUAAUGGUUAGGCCAGUGCUUCCUUGACCAGA